Molecule: long non-coding RNA, 362 nt
Filed under: Vulpes vulpes (red fox)
Lineage: Eukaryota; Metazoa; Chordata; Mammalia; Carnivora; Canidae
Description: lncRNA (ENSVVUG00000012323.1)
Source: RNAcentral
GUCAAUUGAUUUUAGCUUUGCCACACAAAAUAUCACAUUUCUUAAAGUAGGUAAGUCAUGCGAUUUUAAAUUUCCUACUCAGGAGCUAUGUAGGUGGCAUGAAGAGGAGUGAUGCCUAGUGGGACAGACUGCAUCAGAAGCUCUUUAAACCUCAUAUGUAUUUGGAAUCCCAGCAAAGCAAGAAGGGGUGAAGUGGCUGAGAAGGGCCAGUACCAGUGGUAUGUGACUCCAGGAUCUACUGAAAGAAGUUUGCAUUGCAGGUCCAUUUGUAGAUCUUGAUCUACACAUCAGAGACUCAAUAGUUAACUUUACUCACUAAGAUAAAGGUCUUAUUUAUCUGAUUUUAACAGAUGUAAUAAAAU